Molecule: long non-coding RNA, 806 nt
Filed under: Homo sapiens (human)
Lineage: Eukaryota; Metazoa; Chordata; Mammalia; Primates; Hominidae
Description: long intergenic non-protein coding RNA 1002
Source: RNAcentral
GUUGAUUGUGAAAUGCCAGUUGAAGCAUAUGUCCUGCAAGCUUAGGGGUGCUACAAGUUGACCACUGCAGCAGUAAAGAUGACUCUGAAGAACGGCGUGGGAUGGUUCCUUUCAAAUGCACUUGAGCAGCGGUCUCCAACCACAGGGCCACAGAGCUGGAGGUGAGCAGCAGCUGGAUCUACCAUGAAAGACUUGUGAAUCCAGGAAGAGAGACUGACUGGGCAACAUGUUAUUCAGGGUCUCCCUCUGUUGUCCAAGGCUGGAGUGUAGUAGUGCUAUCGCAGCUGACUGCAGCCUCAACCUUCCAGGCUGAAGCGAUCCUCCCACCUCAACCUCCCACGUGGCUGAGACUACAGGUGCUUGCCACUAUGCCCAACUAACAUUUGGAAUUUUCGUAUACGUGGAUUCUAGAGGGGUGACAGCGAAACGUGAGUGGGACCAUCCAGUUGCAGGAAAACAAGCUUGACACGCCCACUAAUUCUACAUUAUGCUCCUACCUCCCGGCAGCCUCUCCAGGCCCAGAACUUUCUCCAGUCAGCCUCUACAGACCAAGCUCAUGACUCACAAUGGCCUAUUUAGGCCCAUACCCUACGUCACGGCAGCCUCCGCAGAUGAGGCUACUGCCUCACAACAGCCUCCACAGGCACAGCUCCAUCGUUACAAUGGCCUCUUUAGACCCAGCUCCUGCCUCCCAGCCUUCUCUCCAGGCCCUGAACUUUCUCAAGUCGACCUCACCAGGCCCAGCUCAUGCUUCUUUGCAGCCUCUCCAGGCCCAGCUCCUGCAUCUUGGUGGCCCCUCCAGGCCC